This 441-nucleotide ribosomal RNA is filed under the name uncultured bacterium. RNAcentral describes it as "partial 16S ribosomal RNA". It matches the Rfam family "Bacterial small subunit ribosomal RNA", at positions 338 to 795 of the family's 1533-position model. The record is from RNAcentral.
CCUACGGGAGGCAGCAGUAGGGAAUAUUGCUCAAUGGGGGAAACCCUGAAGCAGCAACGCCGCGUGGAGGAUGAAGGUUUUCGGAUUGUAAACUCCUUUUGUUAGAGAAGAUAAUGACGGUAUCUAACGAAUAAGCACCGGCUAACUCCGUGCCAGCAGCCGCGGUAAUACGGAGGGUGCAAGCGUUACUCGGAAUCACUGGGCGUAAAGAGGGCGUAGGCGGGAUAGCAAGUCAGAUGUGAAAUCCUAUGGCUUAACCAUAGAACUGCAUUUGAAACUGUUAUUCUAGAGUAUGGGAGAGGUAGGUGGAAUUCUUGGUGUAGGGGUAAAAUCCGUAGAGAUCAAGAGGAAUACUCAUUGCGAAGGCGACCUGCUAGAACAUAACUGACGCUGAUGCGCGAAAGCGUGGGGAGCAAACAGGAUUAGAUACCCCAGGUAGUC